CCAGUCUUCUGGCUGCUCCCAGCCUGCUCUCCUCCCUCCUUCCCAGCUCCUGGAGGGGCCAGGGCAGCCUGGACCCCCUGAUUCUCGACGGCGCGGCUCCUUCUGACCGCUCUCCGCUGGAUGGAAGAGGAAAAAGGAUUUUAUAAAAAGACAGCCUUGACGUGCACACUUGAGUGCAACAUAAACGUCCUCCUCUUAGAAGAUUCUCCACAUCACCAGGAAGGCGAAGACUGAAGAACCAAGAAAGGAACACGCGGGUGUGAGAGGCCUGGGUGGGCCCGGCCCCGCCCCCCACCCCGUCUGUUUGUGCAGAAGCGGGACUUGGAAGAGCCGCGGGAAGGGUGGGAAGUGGAUCCCCUGAACUAAGCUAAUUCGACCGCUGUUGACGCUGACAUGGCCCAGGGAGCCCACCUGGAGGCGAGGUGGGUUCCUUGGCUGCAGUGGCUCACAGUGGCUCACAGACGCGGGGAAACUGCUCACCAGUUUAUUGUAAAUGGAAACGCUGAGGCCAGGCCAAGUAUCCAGAUGGAAGUGAUGCGCAGGGCAAGGUGUCCAGCAUAUUCUGUGAGGAUAUAAUGGUGACCCUGGUGGUGACAGAAGUUUCCUGCCCACGUGGAGGAUCCCAUCUGGUGGGCAAGACAGAUCCUCAUGAAAACCCCACCCUCAUCACCACCCUCACUUUGCAAACAAAGAAGCUGCAGCUCAACACUCACUGGUCAAGUUGAAGGCCAUGGAGCUACUGAGUGAGCAGAAGCCAGAGGAAAAGGAGUUUGAGCCUCCCCAGUCCCAUUCUGGACCCGGGUGCAGAGACUCUCAAAGGAAAGUCUUGCUUCUGCUCCUGGGUGUUGCAGAGGACAGGCUGGCACCUGUUAGGUUUUCUAGAUUCCUGCUAUGAGUGAGACCAUCCGGGAUUUUUCUUUUUCUUCCUGGCUUAUUUCACUCAGCAGUGUGCUUCGGUCUUUCUGCCUGCUCUGCUCCCCGCUCUGGCUCUGGUGACUCCUCUCGCCCCCGCGCGUCUGGCCUGUA
Long non-coding RNA from Talpa occidentalis (Iberian mole), 1026 nucleotides. RefSeq lists it as uncharacterized. The transcript is spliced from 6 exons. The record is from RefSeq and is a predicted model, not a curated record. NCBI's taxonomy places the organism in Eukaryota, Metazoa, Chordata, Mammalia, Eulipotyphla, Talpidae.